CUCGUGACCCUGCUUGACCUGGUGCCCCUGCUGCAGCACGGUCAGCAUGAUCUGGGACAGUCCAUAUUUUAUACCACCACGUGUCUCCUGCCCUUUCUCAGUGAUGACAUUCUCAGCACUUUGCCCUAUACUAUGAUCUCCACCUUAGCCACUUUCCCCCCAUUCCUUCACAAAGACAUCAUCGAAUACCUCAGCACGUCCUUCCUCCCCAUGGCCAUACUGGGCUCCACCCGGAGGGAUGGAGGAGUUCCAGCUUAUGUUAAUUUCUCAGCCUCCUCCAUGCUCAUGAUUGCAAUGCAGUACACGUCAA
Cynoglossus semilaevis (tongue sole) is the source of this 310-nucleotide long non-coding RNA. RefSeq lists it as uncharacterized. The record is from RefSeq and is a predicted model, not a curated record. The transcript is spliced from 3 exons. NCBI's taxonomy places the organism in Eukaryota, Metazoa, Chordata, Actinopteri, Pleuronectiformes, Cynoglossidae.